UGUAGUUCUCAUGUGGCUUUCACCACCUCCUGGCUUAACCCAUUCUUCUCGGAGGCUGUUUGAGGAUGCAUCCUGCCUUUCAUUCGGUUCUGCAGCGGGGACGGUCAUAUCGGAGCCUUCUCGGUGGCACUUGGGCUUGCUCCUGCACACUGACAUGCCACCCCAUGCCAAACUCUCCCUAGGUGUACAUGACGAUGGGAGUGAGCGGAGGUAUGGGGUUGCAUGGCAGGAGCAUCUGGGACUUUCUACAGCUAGUGUUUGCAUCACAGUCGUCAUAGGAGAAGGAGCAGCACCCACCUUUAUCUCGUUCCUCGUUCCUGCUCUGCUGCUGCAUUUGAAGGGAGGACCCUCAGGCUCAUGGAUAUCAGAGGCGUCAACAGAUACGUCCAGACUCUCUGGUACUGCGAUAUUAUGCUCCUUCAGUGCAGUUCCUGAUGGAUCUGUCCCCAGAAAUCACUCGUUUCUGAAGAACUACUGAGCCCCGGGUGACAGUUAGAUUACCCCAAACGUGUUACAAGAGAGGCUGGCCUUGAAAAUGCUGAGCUGCUUUGCUGGCUGUGCUGGAAAUCAACCCCGUGAGAAGGAGAUCCUUAGAAGAGGCCGUCAUCAUCUCCUCCGGGCCAACACUGAAGAACCUGAGCCAAGAAAAUAUGGUGCUUGGGCACCAUCCCUGCACCAGCGUUUUGAUGCCGCACCCACUGGCGUUAUGCUCUGAAAGGGGAGAUGCCAUGUAGAGGGGCAGGAUUUUUGCAGAUAUUUGUUUUUGAAAGCGCAGUGAGCUGCCGACCUGGAUAAGUUGUGUGUACCUCUUGCACAGCUCUCAGCGCUGAGCUCACUGGUAGCCUUCGCGCAUUUGAGGGACUGGUUCCUUGCAUCACGUCAGGGCUGCUUCCUGUUAGAGGUUUCAAAGAGGUAAAACAUAGUGCAGCUGCUGUGCUUUCCGCUUACUGUACCAAGGUGUAGCUCUGAUUGCUUUGCCCUAUAUCAGCCUGCAGAAAAUGCCCUUCUUGGCACUAUUUCAGGCUGCGAAUUAAUUUUUUUUUUCCUUUUCUUUUUUUUUUUUGAUUUCUUCCCUUUUUUUCCUGUUUCUCUUUUUCAUUUUUAUACUGCCGCUGCAUCACAUAAUGCUGGGACAGGAUAAAAAUCAGCCACCGAGAAACUUUUAAAAAUC
This 1171-nucleotide long non-coding RNA is filed under the name Struthio camelus australis. RNAcentral's name for it is "lncRNA (ENSSCUG00000013418.1)". Lineage: Eukaryota; Metazoa; Chordata; Aves; Struthioniformes; Struthionidae. The record is from RNAcentral.